Molecule: ribosomal RNA, 744 nt
Filed under: uncultured bacterium
Lineage: Bacteria
Description: bacterial SSU rRNA
Rfam family: Bacterial small subunit ribosomal RNA
Source: RNAcentral
UCAGGUGAGUGGCGAACGGGUGAGUAACACGUGGGUAACCUACCUCAUAGUGGGGGAUAACAGUCGGAAACGACUGCUAAUACCGCAUAGGACAUGGAAUCACAUGAUUCUGUGAGGAAAGGUGGCGCAAGCUAUCGCUAAGAGAUGGACCCGCGGUGCAUUAGCUAGUUGGUAGGGUAACGGCCUACCAAGGCGAUGAUGCAUAGCCGACCUGAGAGGGUGAUCGGCCACAUUGGGACUGAGACACGGCCCAAACUCCUACGGGAGGCAGCAGUAGGGAAUCUUCCGCAAUGGACGCAAGUCUGACGGAGCAACGCCGCGUGAGUGAAGAAGGUCUUCGGAUCGUAAAGCUCUGUUGUUAGAGAAGAACAGCGCAUAGAGUAACUGUUAUGCGUGUGACGGUAUCUAACCAGAAAGCCACGGCUAACUACGUGCCAGCAGCCGCGGUAAUACGUAGGUGGCGAGCGUUGUCCGGAUUUAUUGGGCGUAAAGGGAGUGUAGGCGGUCUUUUAAGUCUGAUGUGAAAGCCCACGGCUCAACCGUGGAGGGUCAUUGGAAACUGGGAGACUUGAGUGCAGAAGAGGAGAGCGGAAUUCCAUGUGUAGCGGUGAAAUGCGUAGAUAUAUGGAGGAACACCAGUGGCGAANGCGGCUCUCUGGUCUGUAACUGACGCUGAGGCUCGAAAGCGUGGGGAGCAAACANGAUUAGAUACCCUGGUAGUCCACGCCGUAAACGAUGAGUGCU